RNAcentral lists this long non-coding RNA (215 nucleotides) under Linum usitatissimum (flax). RNAcentral describes it as "long non-coding RNA (LUSI_LNC000207)". The record is from RNAcentral. Lineage: Eukaryota; Viridiplantae; Streptophyta; Magnoliopsida; Malpighiales; Linaceae.
UCGAUGAAUCAUGCUGAAUAUCUCAAAAUGAGAGCUGAGGCUAAAAUGGAAAGUAGAAACAGUGAGAAUCGAGCCAUGAUUAGUCCAGGUUUAACUAAUGGAAGAUCAAAGGACUUUUCUUUGCUGGACCCUGAAGAGAGAGUAACAGCUACUUCAUCCUUCACCGGUCAACAAAACUCUAGUUUUGGAAAUGUUGGAGUUGGUUUUCCUUGUGG